GGAAGUAAAAGUCGGUAACAAGGUUUCCGUAGGUGAACCUGCGGAAGGAUCAUUACUGAGUGAGGGCCCCUCGGGGUCCAACCUCCCACCCGUGUUUAACGAACCUUGUUGCUUCGGCGGGCCCGCCUCACGGCCGCCGGGGGGCAUCUGCCCCCGGGCCCGCGCCCGCCGAAGCCACCUGUGAACGCUGUCUGAAGUAUGCAGUCUGAGACAAUUAUUAAAUUAAUUAAAACUUUCAACAACGGAUCUCUUGGUUCCG
This 259-nucleotide unclassified non-coding RNA is filed under the name plant metagenome. RNAcentral describes it as "partial contains small subunit ribosomal RNA, internal transcribed spacer 1, and 5.8S ribosomal RNA". The stretch from base 1 to 55 matches the Rfam family "Eukaryotic small subunit ribosomal RNA", at positions 1778 to 1831 of the family's 1831-position model. The record is from RNAcentral.